GUGUCAGCAGCCGCGGUAAUACGGAGGGUGCGAGCGUUGUCCGGAAUCACUGGGCGUAAAGGGCGCGUAGGCGGCUCGACUAGUCAACGGUGAAAGCCCGGGGCUCAACCCCGGGUCGGCCGUCGAUACUUUCGGGCUGGAGCACUGUAGAGGCAGGUGGAAUUCCGGGUGUAGCGGUGGAAUGCGUAGAGAUCCGGAAGAACACCGGUGGCGAAGGCGGCCUGCUGGGCAGUAGCUGACGCUGAUGCGCGACAGCGUGGGGAGCAAACAGGAUUAGAUACCCCUGUAGUCC
This 292-nucleotide ribosomal RNA is filed under the name uncultured bacterium. Its description in RNAcentral is "partial 16S ribosomal RNA". It matches the Rfam family "Bacterial small subunit ribosomal RNA", at positions 505 to 796 of the family's 1533-position model. The record is from RNAcentral.